CGAACGAAUAUAUAAAUUUCUAAAAAUUAUUAGUUCGACGAUGUGACUGACAAAAUGUAUUAGAGACGUGAACUUAUAGUCUAGGAAAAAAGUAUCAUUAGGAGAUGAGUACAACGAUUCUGGAAUAUUAUCAGAUGGAUAUGCUAGUAAUUAUACAUUUUUUAUGAUCGGAACUGUCUCAGAUACAAAUUGCAGUUUAUUAUUUUGAAAUCAUACUCAACAGCAUCCAAAUAAUAUACAUUCUAACAAACUAUUCGUAACUCACAAUGAAUGAUUUUUUAAUUGAAUAUUAACUUAUCUAUAUUAUUUACUGAAUUUAAACAAAUUGAUGAUUUUUAAUGGAUCUGAAUAGUGUUACAAAAAUCAUGUCUAUCAGGAAUAAUAGAUAUAUUCUUUUCUGUUCAAUUUUUGACGCAGAGUAUUUAAACGAGCGAGUAUUCUCAAGCAUAAAAUUAUUAUAACAACAAUUUCGAUAAUCAAAACAUUGGAAUGGACAGAGACAGAUUUCCAGAAAUGUCUGUAACGAUAAUUCUUCACCUAGUUUAGGAGAAUAAAUCGUCAAUUAUUGCUAAUUACCGCAAAUUUCUAUUACCAUCGAUAUAAAUUCCCAGGGAAGAGUAAAAACAUUUCGAUACAAAAAAUGCCAAACUCAUUGCUGUAACUAUAAGGAAUUUUGUAAUAUAAUCAGUACAAAAGAUGACACACUACUAGCGAAUUCAAAUUAUACAUUCGUGACAGAUUAUUUAGCACCAUAUGAAAUAUUAUUUAAAAAAUUAUUUCUGUUAAAAAUCGAAUAUUCAAAUGUUCUUAUUAUGCGUAAACAAUUCAAUGCUGAUUAAUUAUUUUAACCACAAAUUAUCAUGAUUAAUGGUCUAGCAAUGGAUUAAAAAUUAUAGAUCAUUGUAUGCAGUUUAAUCUGUUCUGAUCUCUAAAAUCUAGAACAUUUCCUAUUGGAAAAAAAAUGCAGGAAACGUUGGUACCAUUGAAUCUAUGUAAUUUCUCAUCUUCCUUGGAACGAUGAUCAUUUGCUCGAAGAAAAGUUCAGCUACAAUAUCAGUAUUUUUUAAACGAGUCUUAUAAAAUCGACUCCAAUUCUCUUUGUAGCUUGGAAGAUCGCUUAGAAGAUUAUCAAUUACAGAACCAUAAUAAUACCGAUCAGAAGAUCAUUCGAAAAACUAUUUGAAAGAUUGUUCAGAAUAUAAAUCUUCAUUAUAUUUCAGAUAUUCGUUUAAAAAAAUGUUUAUAUUGUAAGAUCUAGCAAUGUAAUGAUUAGUAGGCUUCUAAUAAAGUUGAGUAUGAAUUCAUCAACAA
Vespa mandarinia (Asian giant hornet) is the source of this 1311-nucleotide long non-coding RNA. The record is from RefSeq and is a predicted model, not a curated record. Lineage: Eukaryota; Metazoa; Arthropoda; Insecta; Hymenoptera; Vespidae.